RNAcentral lists this unclassified non-coding RNA (201 nucleotides) under Hevea brasiliensis (rubber tree). The record is from RNAcentral. Lineage: Eukaryota; Viridiplantae; Streptophyta; Magnoliopsida; Malpighiales; Euphorbiaceae.
UGUUCUGUUUACUCCUUAAAAGAAUCUUGGUUACAUAUCUUGUUGUACACUUAUAUUGAAAUUCAAAGUACAGAGAAAUCAAGAUUCUUUUAAGGAGUAAACAGAACAUCAUAAACACGAAGAGCUUGUAUGUGUAAACUGUAUAAGAAAGAACAAAAAAUUAAUAAAAUAACAUCUUAGCAUAUGAAAAGAGGAGCACCA